UACAGAGGGUGCGAGCGUUGUCCGGAAUCACUGGGCGUAAAGGGCGCGUAGGCGGUGCGAUAAGCGUGCGGUGAAAGCCCGGGGCUCAACCCCGGGUCGGCCGUGCGGACUGUCGGACUGGAGCACUGUAGAGGCAGGUGGUAUUCCGGGUGUAGCGGUGGAAUGCGUAGAGAUCCGGAAGAACACCGGUGGCGAAGGCGGCCUGCUGGGCAGUUGCUGACGCUGAGGCGCGACAGCGUGGGGAGCAAACAGG
RNAcentral lists this ribosomal RNA (253 nucleotides) under uncultured bacterium. RNAcentral's name for it is "partial 16S ribosomal RNA". It matches the Rfam family "Bacterial small subunit ribosomal RNA", at positions 524 to 776 of the family's 1533-position model. The record is from RNAcentral.